This is a long non-coding RNA of Bos taurus (domestic cattle), 1193 nucleotides long. NCBI's taxonomy places the organism in Eukaryota, Metazoa, Chordata, Mammalia, Artiodactyla, Bovidae. The record is from Ensembl.
UCUUCCUCCUGACCUGUUCAGAGCUAAUGCACUGUGGGAACCCUUCCCAGGGCUUGCCACCUGCCUGUGGGGCUGGGGGAGGGGAUUUAGGACUGAUGCAGAGCCUCUGAGGGCUUUGGCUCAAAGGGACAGGCCUAUAAGUCAUAUUUGAUCUCUCUCCACUUCCUGUCCAGAGCAGGUCUUAGCUGCAGCACAGGGGAUCUUCAAUGUUCAGUUGUGGCAUGUGGAGUGAGUUUCCUGACCAGGAACUGAACCGGGACCCUUGUACUGGGAGCACAGAGUUUUAGCCACUGGAUCACCAGGGAAAUCCUGAAAUGUUUGAUUUUUAAAUGUUGGCAAUAAAUUUACUAAAAAACAACAACCCCAAACCAAUCAAUUAAUCAACCAACCAAGACAACAGAACAAAACAAAAACAGUGAAUCUAUUGUAGGUGCCAGAGACUGACACAGUCUUUGCCUAUUCACAGGGUGCCUGGGUUUGAUCCUGGUCAGGGGAACUAGAUACCUCAGGCUGCGAAGAGUUUGAAUGCCACAACUAAAGAUCCUGCGGGCUGCAACUAAGACCUGGAGCAUCCAGAUAAAAACAGUCCCUGUGGCAGGCGUGGAGAUGCAGAUACUGUUCAGAUCCUUCCUCUAGAAAGGACUCACUUUUGCUGUGGGGAGUAUGAUUAGCAGUCACCAGCUGGCAGUCACUCCUUGCGAGCAUGGCCUCAGCCAGUGCCUGGACAGGACGGUGACGCGACGACCUUGCCACUUCUGUGCCUAACACGGGGUUCCUCUAAGGGGCUCUUUGCUUUGGAGCUUCCUGUAGGUCUGGCGUUUGUCAGAUCUGCAUCUCAGUGUCUCACAGCUCCUCCUUCUUGAUCCUGCUUCCUCCCCUUUCUGUCAUGAAUGUUACUCUGACUAAAUCCUCUGGACUCCUAAUUCCAUCGGGUAUCUGCUUUGUUGGGUACUCACAGUUUCUUUCCUUCAUAAUCUUUGCAGUGCAAGACCCCACUCCCAACACACAGCGGGUGUUCUCCCAGAGAAUCUGUCCUUCCCCCACUGUCUGAGCAGCAGGGCACUCUGAAGCAAGAAUCCUCUGUAACUGUGGUUCCUGCCAGUCUGAAUUUUUCUAUGAGGGACUGAGGAGAAAACAGCAGGGUGGGCUUUGGCUAUAUCAGGCCAGCACAAUAGUGCAAGGCCAGCCCUGGA